This 252-nucleotide long non-coding RNA is filed under the name Malus domestica (apple). RNAcentral describes it as "long non-coding RNA (MDOM_LNC020139)". Lineage: Eukaryota; Viridiplantae; Streptophyta; Magnoliopsida; Rosales; Rosaceae. The record is from RNAcentral.
AUAUGUGUGUGUGUGUGUGUGUGUGAUGGUAUAAAAUAACAAAGGUCCUUGAAGUUAAUGAACGAAAGAAAGUGAUGAAUGAUGAUAUUCCAGUGUGGUUGUGUCCAUACUAAGUGCAUGGAUUCUAACAAACAACCAAUUAAAACAUGAAAUUUAAUAUGGACAUUUAAUUAAAUGUUUAUUAAUAUUUGCGGUGCGGUUCGGUUUCGAUGCGGUUUUCAAAAGCCAAAACCGAAACCAAACCGUUUUCUA